GAUGAACGCUAGCGACAGGCUUAACACAUGCAAGUCGAGGGGCAGCACGAUGUAGCAAUACAUUGGUGGCGACCGGCGCACGGGUGAGUAACGCGUAUGCAACCUACCUAUCAGAGGGGAAUAACCCGGCGAAAGUCGGACUAAUACCGCAUAAAACAGGGGUUCCACAUGGAAAUAUUUGUUAAAGAAUUAUCGCUGAUAGAUGGGCAUGCGUUCCAUUAGAUAGUUGGUGAGGUAACGGCUCACCAAGUCCACGAUGGAUAGGGGUUCUGAGAGGAAGGUCCCCCACACUGGUACUGAGACACGGACCAGACUCCUACGGGAGGCAGCAGUGAGGAAUAUUGGUCAAUGGGCGAGAGCCUGAACCAGCCAAGUCGCGUGAAGGAUGAAGGAUCUAUGGUUUGUAAACUUCUUUUAUAUGGGAAUAAAGUGAGGAACGUGUUCCUUUUUGUAUGUACCAUAUGAAUAAGCAUCGGCUAACUCCGUGCCAGCAGCCGCGGUAAUACGGAGGAUGCGAGCGUUAUCCGGAUUUAUUGGGUUUAAAGGGUGCGUAGGUGGUUAAUUAAGUCAGCGGUGAAAGUUUGUGGCUCAACCAUAAAAUUGCCGUUGAAACUGGUUGACUUGAGUAUAUUUGAGGUAGGCGGAAUGCGUGGUGCAGCGGUGAAAUGCAUAGAUAUCACGCAGAACUCCGAUUGCGAAGGCAG
This 704-nucleotide ribosomal RNA is filed under the name uncultured Bacteroidales bacterium. Its description in RNAcentral is "bacterial SSU rRNA". It matches the Rfam family "Bacterial small subunit ribosomal RNA", at positions 28 to 724 of the family's 1533-position model. The record is from RNAcentral. Lineage: Bacteria; Pseudomonadati; Bacteroidota; Bacteroidia; Bacteroidales.